GUAUUUCUAUGGGGAAAAGAUAAAUGUCAUAAAUUCAUUUAGUGGCGAUUAGAAAGCAGGCUUGAAAAUAAAUAUUAGCUUGGCAGGUUCAAAGCAGGCUUGAAAACAAAUAUUAGCUUGGCGGGUUCAAAGUUUUUAGCUUUGUUUACUAAGUGCAAGAAAAAUAAAGGUAAAGAUAAAAUAAAGGGACUCCUGACCAUUAGGUCCAGUCACGGACUACUUUGGGGUCGCAGCAUUCAUCUCGCUUUACUGGCCAAGGGAGCUGGCAUACAGCUUCCAGGUCAUGUGGCCAGCAUGACUAAGCCGCUUCCGGCGAACCAGAGCAGCGCACAGAAACGCCGUUUACCUUUCCUCCGGAGUGGCCGAGGAAGAACCUUUAGAUUGGCUCUCAGACCAUUUCCUGAACGAAUCAACGCAGGGGGUUGAGCAGAAUGUCUUUUCUCCAUGGCUUCUGCCGGAUCAUCUUUGAGUACCAGCCGUUGGUCGGCGAGAUCUUGGAAUGUAUGGAUCCUGUGCUGCAGGAAAUGAUGGAAAGCUCCAGCACCGUGGCAGAAGAUGACAGACGGAUUGCAGUCCUUCAUGAGCUGCUGGAGAGGAACGCCAACUCCGUGUAGUACCAAGAGGAUGUGAACUAUGCAUUGCUGAUGUAUGGGAUGGUCUGAGCCGCAGAAGCCCUCCUGCGUGGUGCGACAUUCGUCCAUUGCCGGGCAUAAAGCCAGUCCAUGUGUGUGAAUAUGGUGCAGUAACACCCUGUUCAACAAUCCCGCAAAUGUCGUCCUGUGCAUGACCAACAUCCGUGUCCGCAGUUGACUGGUACGUGUGGCGCAAAGGCCCCAGAGACUGGAAACACCCCCUUGGUAGAUCAGCGAUCUUCUUGGUCCACCCUUGAAGUCAGACAGCCGCCUCCGCAGAGCUGCUCAGGUCUAUGAGGAGAUACUUUUUCAACAUGUUGGGAAGCAGGGGGGCCUUGACUUUUUCGUCGAUCAGCCAGGGUGUGAGAUGCUGCCACAGGAAAACCCGGCAUAUCUGCUUCAAGGGCUCCAGCUGCUUGAGGCUGGUGAAGAAGUCCAAGAUCCUCUUCCCAUGGAACUGGUAGUUGCUGAGGUUGAUAUCAAAGUUGCUGGGGAACUUGAUCUGGGAGCUUGAGGCCAUGAGCUCCAGCACCAUCUCAGCCUUCUGAAAGAGGUCGGCAGAGAAGGUGUCGUCCUCUGACCCACUCAGAUCCACACACCCAAGAAAACCUUUUUUUUAAUUUUUUUUAACCACAUAUCACGAGGCAAGUUGCAAGGGCUCCAUGGCUCAUUUGAAUGAUCUAUUAUUAUUUCUGUAAGUUUAGCCAGUUCAAAAUAUUCACUUAGUUUUAAGAGCCAUUCUUCUUUUGUUGGCAACACAUUACUUUUCCAAUAUUUUGCAAUCACGAUCCUGGCAGCCGUGAUUGCAUAUAAAAAAAACUCUUCUUUUUUUGUCCUUUGGAAUGUCUGGUUGUUGUUUUUUGUUUUUGGAAAGGAGAGUCUCAUCAUUUUUAAUUCUUCUUAUAUCAUGUCCUAGAAUAUGUUUAUUCUGGGGCACCUCUACCACAUGUGGAAUAGAGUUCCCUCCUUAUGGUUGCACCUCCAACAUUUACUACUGAUUUUUUUUAAAGCCAUUUUUCUCAGGUCAGAUACCACUGAUACACCUUUAGGAAACUUUCUUUGAUCAUAUAGCAAGCCGUAAAUCUAAUAUCAUUUUUCCAAAAAAAUUCCCACUUGUCUAAUUCUAUAUUAUAGCUGAAAUAUUGGGCCCAUAUUAUCAUUAUGUCCUUUACCUCUUCAUCUUUCAGAUGCCAAUUUAGUAAUAACAUAUACAUUUUGGACAAAUUCUUUUUAUCGUUUGAAAGAAGUUCUUUAUCUAGAUCAGAUUAUCUUGUUGAAUCCGUUCCUUUUUUAUCAUGUUCAAAGCUUAUACCAAAUUGUUUUAAUGUAUCGUAUUUCUUCAAUUUCAGUUGGUUGUUUUCUUCUAGUAAAUCUUUAUAUGUCUGCCAAUUGGUAUCCAUAUUUUUUCCUUUUUACAGCCAUUGCCUCCAUUGGUGAUAAACACCAUGGGGUUUUCGGCUCCAACAAUUUUUUAUUUCUUUCAAAUAUUGCUUUUCUGAUUAUGUGGUUGUGAAAUCCCUUGUGUAUUUUCACUUUAUCAUAACCUGGAUAUCCAUGCCAUCCUACUAUAUUGCCCCAUCCCUCUAAAUCUAAUAAAUUGACAUUCUUUAAAGUCAUCCAUUCCUUCAGCCAAACAAAACAUGCUGCUUCGUAAUACAACCUGAAAUCUGGCAAUGCAAUGCAAAGCUGAAAUCUGGCAAUGCAACCUGAAAUCUAGCAAUCCUUAGUGUCUGUUAACAAUUUAAAUUUUAUCCUAGGUUUUUUACCUGGCCAAAUACCUGUGCCAUUCUUUGAAGCAGUUAAGUCCAUUAAUAACUUUUGAUAAAAUAAGAAUAAUAGAGAAAACUGGGUAUUGAAACCUGCUUAACCUAAAUCAUAUAUCCCAGUUUCCAGCGGCCCUUUAAAGUAUGCUUCAUGCAGAGUAUAUACAGUCAGAAUUCGACCUGGCUAAGAAAACACCACCAAGAGCAUAGGGAAUUAUCUCCCUUAUAUGAAACCCCUUACUAGCUGCACACUUGUAAAAGUAUACAGAUGAAAAUACAAACAGUUGGGUUUCUUUAACUGAAACUAACUCUAAAGAGACUUUAAACUAAAGAUAAAUGCUUUCUCUCUUAGCAACUUUAUCUACCCACAUUCCAACCUUCAAACCAUUCCAAACCUCCCACAAACUCCCACAUAACUCCCAUUAAACUACCCAAGAAUUAACAGCAAACUAGCUUUAUAACUAAGCAACUCUCAUACUAAGAUUCAACUAAGGAAUCUCUUAAACUGAGAGUCUCUCUUACUAAGAUUCAACUUGGAAUCUCUUAAACUGAGAAUUAAAUCACACUGAGAGAUAUUUAACUGAGAGAUACAUUCAACUGAGAGAGUGAUCUACUAAGAGAUACAGAAAGCUUUCUGGCAGAGCCUUAUAUACAAGGAGCAGAGCCCACGCCUGUGAGUAAUUAACAGAAAUCACCGGCACCUGUUUCUCUUAAACAAACAGUAUUUACAUUAGACCAGCUCUAAAGUAACUCGACUAUUCAAAAAAUCCAACAAUAACCGGGAUGGUUUGAAAAAGGAACAAUAUUUUUGGAAGGAUUACCAUUUUAAUCGUUGAGUUUCUCCACCAUAAUGACAGUUUUAGUCUAUUCCAACUUCCUAACUCCUUUUUUAUUUCAUUCCAGGCCUUUGUAUAAUAAUCCUUAUAGAGUCUGAGAUUGUUUUUCAUAGUGAUCCAAAUUCCCAGGUAUCUGGCUUUGUUAGUCACUUUUAAUCCUUUUUCCAGCUCUGCUUUUUCUUGUGCAUCCAAAUUUUUCACCAUACGUUUUGUUUUUUCUUUGUUAACUUUAAACCCAUAUAGUUGGCCGAAUUCAUUCAUUUUCUCUAAUGUUAUUAAAAUACUUUCUAAUGGGUUUUCUGUUGUGAUUUUCAAGUCGUCUGCAAAUGCCUUAACCUUCUAGGCUCUUUCCCCCAGUUUUACCCAUGCUAUUUUUGGAUCACCCCUAAUCACUUUUAGGUGUGUUUCUAACACUGUUACGAAGAGAAGGGGCGACAGUGGGCACCACUGCCUUGUUCUUUAGAGAUGUCGGAGGAAUCUGACAAUUCAUUAUUUAUAAUCAGUCUUGCCCUUUGGGAUUUAUAUAUUGCUUGAAUUCCACUACAUAUUUUCUCUCCUAAUCUCAUUGUUUCAAUAGUUUUUAGCAUGUACUUCCAAGAUACAUUGUCGAAAGCUUUUUCAGCAUCGACUAGCAUCAGGGCUGCCUUUUAGUCCAGCCUCAUUUCUAAAUAUUCAAUUACCGGUAUAUCUAUUAGCAUCCUCGUAUUGUCUUUAUCUCCCCGGUAAAAAAACACGGAUUGGUCCUCAUUAAUUAUUCUUCCCCCCAAUUUUUUUUUAAAUCUAUUAGCCAAAGAUUUUGCAAAUAUUUUGUAAUCCGUGUUUAAUAGAGGGAUUAAAUCCUAGUUUCAGACAGAUUUGAACCUUGUUUCAGUAUUAAUGUUAAUAACGCCUCCUGCCAUGAUUUUGGGACCUUCCCUUCUAAUAUUUUGUUCAUCAUACCUCCCAGUACUGAUAGUACUCAGUACUCUUCCAUUUUCUUAUAAUACAUUAUAGAGAUUCUGUCUGGCCCUGGAGAUUUUCUGACUUUAGAUUUUGCAAUCGCGUACUUUAUUUCGCUAAUGUUUAUGGGGGCAUUUAAAUAUUUUUGUUCUUCUGUUAUCAAUGGUAAUCUAUUAUUGGUCAGGAAUUCUUCUAUUGUAUUUUCAGCCUUCUCUUCUGCUUUAUAUAAUUUUUUAUAGUGAUUUAUUAGACACACUUUAAUUUUUUCUGAAUUGUUUAACGUUUCUAAUAUUUAUUUUCAAGUGGCAUCUGCUUUGUCAUUGUCACUGAAUGAAUUUAUGACAUUAUCUUUUCCCCAUAGAAAUACGUUAAUCCCCUCCCCCCCCCCCCCGCUGCCACUGCCAGUAAGGGCAAGAAAAUUAACGCAGACCAAGAAAGUUUUAUAGGCAGCAAAAUACAAAUUAUCAAACAAAAGUCAGCAUCUUAGUAAACUGCCACCUGCUUCCAAAACCCUGCUUUCCAAACCAGUCACUACAAACAUUGGAACAAGCCCACCUCACAAGGCUGUUGGGAAGAUUUCACAGUCCUUUUAAGUAACUUAAUAAAGCCUUUUUGCUAAAACAGCAAAAAACAAAACAAAAAAACCCAUAUCAAAGUAGCCCAUUAAAAUGUUUAUUUCAACCACCUUUCUCUCUGCAAAUUCCCAACUCCCAUCCCACCCUGUUGGACCCAUGGAGGCCCACAGCUGCCUCUCUCUCUCUCUCUCUCUCUCUCUCUCUCUCUCUCUCUCUCUCUCUCUCUCUCUCUUGAUUGCUGGCUCGCUCUCGCUCUCCCCACUAGAGAUGUGAAGGCCCGGAAAACCCCCAGAAAAAUUGGGGAAACCCCCAGGUUUUUUCUGUUUUUUCCCUGAAGCCUUUUUUGUUUUGUUUAUCGGAAAAUUGGAAAAAUAAAAAAUAGAUUACGGAAUGUUUUAUUUUAACGUGAUGAAUAAAAUAUUUUAAGAUAAGGGGUUUAAAUAUUUUAUAAAUCCUUUUUAAAAAACAUGUAUUGUAUCAGAUUAUUCUAAUUUCUGUGAGAACAAGCAAGUCCUAGGUUACAAACUGAACUCUCCAAUGCAAGAACAAGAUACACUUCUUCCUUUAGGAGGUGCUGUUGUCACCAGAAAAGAAAAAGGUUUCAGUUUUGUUUUUGCAUACGUGUGGUAUGCAUUGGUUCUGUUCCUCUUCACUAGGCCUCAAAGCACUGGAAGAAAAUAUAGAGCAACAAAAAGGGCCUUAAAGUAUAUGUGUUGUUGUGGCAAUCAGAGAAGUGUUGUGAAAGAAAAAAAAGAAAUGAAAAUAUUUUAAACAUUAAAUGCUGUAAAACAGUCUUUAAAAAAGUGAAAUAAACUAAUUUUAGCAUAUAGUAGUAGCUAAAGUGAUUAACAGACCACACAUAUCAGUGUGAGGAAAUACAUAAGGUCUCAUGGGCAAAACAUGGGAGGUGGAGUAAGCAUGUUGCAUAGCAAA
Long non-coding RNA from Zootoca vivipara (common lizard), 5678 nucleotides. RefSeq lists it as uncharacterized. NCBI's taxonomy places the organism in Eukaryota, Metazoa, Chordata, Lepidosauria, Squamata, Lacertidae. The record is from RefSeq and is a predicted model, not a curated record.